CAUAGCAUAGAAGGCACAUUCAGGCCCAGAAACACACAGUCAAAAUUCUAGUUCCGUUCGGAGCGGACGUGUGAAAAAUCAGAUCCCAGUAAAAAACAAAAAAAAUAAAAUUUUAGUUUUUGUCUCUGUCAGUUCAGUCUUGGGUCUUACAGACAACGCACUGAUCCUGCACCGUCGAGGGAUGUCCCAAAUGCGCAGAGGGCCUCGAUGGAUGCCUUGCGGAUGACCUCCUGGAAGUCAUCAAAAGCGUCGAACUGCGAGUUCCUUCAAGAUUAAUGACGCCUCCUCCUUUUCCAAGACAAAGUCGUUAUCCAUUUGCAACUCGUUCGAAUCCUUAUUGCCAUCGGCCUCAUCAUGAUUCUUGUUGACAUUGUCGUAUUUUGUGGAUGCCACCAUUUGAAGCAUGCGUUCGGUAAUCUUCACGGAACGCGGGGGCCAUAUUCUCAAUCACAACGAACGAUAGUCCGCCCGUUUCAGGUCUGGAUCAGCUGGUCCCAGCGUUGCACUCAAACAGACUGAGAACAAACCAACUGACAAAUGUGGCACAAGCGCAUCCCCAAGGCUCUCGCAGACAACUUCCAGAGCAGAAGAUGCGACUCAUGCAGUUGGCGAUCGAGGUCAGUGCAUCGAUGCACUCCGUACUACUCCGCCGAACGCGCGAACAAAACUGCAAUGGUGUCUUGUGGAAACAUGUUCGAUUCUUGGCAUCUCCAAAUGUAAGCUGACAGCUCUCACUCAGCCGGCCUUGAUUGUUGCUCCGGCAGUUGCUCCACCAGCAGCUUCUCGCGCAACAGAUAUUGCAUGGGUUUCAUCUUCACCGCUGGGAUUUGCGGGGAUUUUUUAAGCUCGUCCUCGUCUUUGCCCAGGGAUCCGGCGAGUGGAUCCGGCGAGAGCGCGGAGGAAGCUAACGAGAAGUGGGAGCGAAGGCUGACGGAUCGUCGGUACAAGUGCAGCCCUGUCCGGCAUCUCAACGGUGGCCAUCGCAUCGAAAACGAGUGCGCCGAGUCUGGCUUCGAUCGCCCAAGAUACGAUGUAGUUUUGUAUGACUUUGAACCUGACCUGAAACGGGCCUGCCGUUCGUUGUGUAUGCGAAUAUGGUCACUGCGUUCCACUAGAUUUUCGAACGCUUGCUUCAGACAGUUGCAUCCACAGAGCAUGGCAAUGACAACGAGAUUGAUGGUGAUGACGAUGACGAUAACGGUACAAAUGAGUUGCAGGUGGCGACCGACUGUGCCUUUGAGGAGGAGAAGGCCACAUAAGCCUUAAAGGAACUCGCUGUGGGUUCAAGCAAGGUCUUCGCACGCCAGAUCUUGUCAGGGUCUCACCUUCGCCGCUGGCAUUUACUGGUAUUUGUUGAGGUCAUCCUCGUCCUUGACCAGCGAGCGGCGAGUGGAUCCGGCGAGAGCGGGAAGGAAGCUAACGAAUGGUGGGAAGAAGAGGACCGUGCCUGGCUUGUCGAGCAGUAGUCUUGCCAACCCGGCAUGGAGAAGUGCACCAAGUGAGACCGAAGGCUGUCUCAUCUACCAAAGACCAGCUUUGUGGAUUGGUACAACGUAUUUCUGCCAUUGAUCGAUACAACAGAGAAUUUCAUUCACAAAUAUAUACAAAUUAACAGUUGAAAA
This 1622-nucleotide small RNA is filed under the name Drosophila pseudoobscura pseudoobscura. Its description in RNAcentral is "GA23081". Lineage: Eukaryota; Metazoa; Arthropoda; Insecta; Diptera; Drosophilidae. The record is from RNAcentral.